UAUUGGACAAUGGGCGCAAGCCUGAUCCAGCAAUACCGCGUGUGUGAAGAAGGCCUUAGGGUUGUAAAGCACUUUCAAUUGGGAGGAAAACCUGCCGGUCAAUACCCGGUAGCUUGACAUUACCUUUAGAAGAAGCACCGGCUAACUCCGUGCCAGCAGCCGCGGUAAUACGGAGGGUGCGAGCGUUAAUCGGAAUUACUGGGCGUAAAGCGUGCGUAGGCGGUUCGUUAAGUCAGAUGUGAAAGCCCUGGGCUCAACCUGGGAACUGCAUUUGAAACUGGCGGACUAGAGUUUAGUAGAGGGGAGUGGAAUUUCAGGUGUAGCGGUGAAAUGCGUAGAUAUCUGAAGGAACACCAGUGGCGAAGGCGACUCCCUGGACUAGAACUGACGCUGAGUGCGAGA
RNAcentral lists this ribosomal RNA (402 nucleotides) under uncultured bacterium. Its description in RNAcentral is "bacterial SSU rRNA". It matches the Rfam family "Bacterial small subunit ribosomal RNA", at positions 362 to 758 of the family's 1533-position model. The record is from RNAcentral.